RNAcentral lists this ribosomal RNA (427 nucleotides) under uncultured bacterium. Its description in RNAcentral is "partial 16S ribosomal RNA". It matches the Rfam family "Bacterial small subunit ribosomal RNA", at positions 355 to 774 of the family's 1533-position model. The record is from RNAcentral.
UGGGGAAUAUUGGACAAUGGGCGAAAGACUGAUCCAGCCAUGCCGCGUGUGUGAAGAAGGUCUUCGGAUUGUAAAGCACUUUAAGUUGGGAGGAAGGGCAUUAACCUAAUACGUUAGUGUUUUGACGUUACCGACAGAAUAAGCACCGGCUAACUAUGUGCCAGCAGCCGCGGGAAUACAGAGGGUGCAAGCGUUAAUCGGAAUUACUGGGCGUAAAGCGCGCGUAGGUGGUUUGUUAAGUUGGAUGUGAAAUCCCCGGGCUCAACCUGGGAACUGCAUUCAAAACUGACUGACUAGAGUAUGGUAGAGGGUGGUGGAAUUUCCUGUGUAGCGGUGAAAUGCGUAGAUAUAGGAAGGAACACCAGUGGCGAAGGCGACCACCUGGACUAAUACUGACACUGAGGUGCGAAAGCGUGGGGAGCAAACA